UUCAGAAAGGCUGCUGAAUCUUCAGAAAGGCCUUUCCGAACCUUCAGAAAGGCUGCUGAA
RNAcentral lists this microRNA precursor (60 nucleotides) under Pan troglodytes (chimpanzee). RNAcentral's name for it is "miRNA". The record is from RNAcentral. Lineage: Eukaryota; Metazoa; Chordata; Mammalia; Primates; Hominidae.